UCCGGUAUGGUGUAUCGGCUAGCAUCCGUCGCUUUCAUGGGCUUUCGAGCAAUGAAAAGUGUCCGACGAGAGCCGGGUUCGACUCCCGGUACCGGAA
This is a non-coding RNA of Byssothecium circinans, 97 nucleotides long. The record is from the annotation of a GenBank genome assembly. Lineage: Eukaryota; Fungi; Ascomycota; Dothideomycetes; Pleosporales; Massarinaceae.